UAGGGAAUCUUCGGCAAUGGACGGAAGUCUGACCGAGCAACGCCGCGUGAGUGAAGAAGGUUUUCGGAUCGUAAAGCUCUGUUGUAAGAGAAGAACGAGUGUGAGAGUGGAAAGUUCCCACUGUGACGGUAUCUUACCAGAAAGGGACGGCUAACUACGUGCCAGCAGUCGCGGUAAUACGUAGGUCCCGAGCGUUGUCCGGAUUUAUUGGGCGUAAAGCGAGCGCAGGCGGUUAGAUAAGUCUGAAGUUAAAGGCUGUGGCUUAACCAUAGUAGGCUUUGGAAACUGUUUAACUUGAGUGCAAGAGGGGAGAGUGGAAUUCCAUGUGUAGCGGUGAAAUGCGUAGAUAUAUGGAGGAACACCGGUGGCGAAAGCGGCUCUCUGGCUUGUAACUGACGCUGAGGCUCGAAAGCGUGGGGAGCAAACAGGAUUAGAUACCCUGGUAGUCCACGCUGUAAACGAUGAGUGCUAGGUGUUAGACCCUUUCCGGGGUUUAGUGCCGUAGCUAACGCAUUAAGCACUCCGCCUGGGGAGUACGACCGCAAGGUUG
This 550-nucleotide ribosomal RNA is filed under the name uncultured bacterium. RNAcentral describes it as "bacterial SSU rRNA". It matches the Rfam family "Bacterial small subunit ribosomal RNA", at positions 355 to 896 of the family's 1533-position model. The record is from RNAcentral.